RNAcentral lists this ribosomal RNA (505 nucleotides) under uncultured bacterium. Its description in RNAcentral is "partial 16S ribosomal RNA". It matches the Rfam family "Bacterial small subunit ribosomal RNA", at positions 28 to 507 of the family's 1533-position model. The record is from RNAcentral.
GACGAACGCUGGCGGCGUGCCUAAUACAUGCAAGUAGAACGCACAGUUUAUACCGUAGCUUGCUACACCAUAGACUGUGAGUUGCGAACGGGUGAGUAACGCGUAGGUAACCUGCCUGGUAGCGGGGGAUAACUAUUGGAAACGAUAGCUAAUACCGCAUAAUAUUGAUUAUUGCAUGAUAAUUGAUUGAAAGAUGCUAUUGCAUCACUACCAGAUGGACCUGCGUUGUAUUAGCUAGUAGGUGAGGUAACGGCUCACCUAGGCGACGAUACAUAGCCGACCUGAGAGGGUGAUCGACCAAACUGGGACUGAGAAACGGCCCAGACUCCUACGGGAGGCAGCAGUAGGGAAUCUUCGGCAAUGGACGAAAGUCUGACCGAGCAACGCCGCGUGAGUGAAGAAGGGUUUCGGAUCGUAAAGCUCUGUUGUAAGAGAAGAACGGGUGUGAGAGUGGAAAGUUCACACUGUGACGGUAUCUUACCAGAAAGGGACGGCUAACUACGUG